This is a long non-coding RNA of Pezoporus flaviventris, 2113 nucleotides long. RefSeq lists it as uncharacterized. The transcript has 3 exons. The record is from RefSeq and is a predicted model, not a curated record. Lineage: Eukaryota; Metazoa; Chordata; Aves; Psittaciformes; Psittacidae.
UGUUUUUUAAACUGCUUCUGUGCUUGCUGUAAGGGACAAUCAAUAAGACACUUAAAACCCUGCUACAGAAACCCCUACAUUCAUGAUUUAAUGCAGAAACCCAAUUCCGUUAGCUAUUCACGGAGCAGAUGCUGCGACUUAACAUGUAUCUGUCUGUAGGCUUGGCCCUUAAGAAGAAAAAUACCAAACACCUAAAAACAUUAGAGCAUCAACCAAAGAACCACACUAGGCAAACAGCUGCCUUAAUGAGAAGCUGAUAAAAAGGGGGGUAAAGACUCACUGAAACUUGUAUUUCUAUGAAGUAUAAUUUCCAGCAAAGGCCUCUUCAGUGACCCACAUUCAUAGGCUGUGACCCUCCGUUCAGUGCACAGUGUCUAGACUGCCUGAAAUAAUAAUUCACUUCUCUACCCAAGGAGCUCAAAGUGUUUUAACAGAUCCCUUUUGGGUAUGUAUUGCUUUUACCAGGGGCAAAAUACAGAUGUUAACGGCAUGACUGUUAAAUGCAGAGUGGAUCCUCUGGUCUCUAGAAGACUCUUUGUCUAGUGGGGUUUUAACCUGUCAAAUGAUGCACUUCAAAAAAUCCCCAAAACGACAAAAAGCCCAACUCUAAAACCUAAAUAUAAACCACUGUUUAAGGGGGGAAACCCCCAAACCCAAGAGUGAUGCUCUCUGAUCUAUGGAGUGAUGAUACUGAUCUGUGUAGUCUCUCUCCACAGGAUUGCCUGUUCUUCCCCUGCUCGCUGGAGCUUUGCAGGGCCUGAUUUUGAUUCUGGCAAGAAUAUGCAGAAACAAGAAGAGAAAAAAUAAACCCUUUAGAAAAUAACCUGCUUGGUUCUGCGUGGGCCUGCUGCACGCAUCCUGCCUUCCCAGGGACUCCUGAGCAGCUUCUGAAGAUCCGAGCAUGCCAGAGCUGUAAGUGUUCGCACUGAUGGCUCUUUUCCUGCCGCUGGGGUAUGUAAUAUCAUACAAACCUCUUGCUUAACUGAGCCUUCACUCAUGUGAGGGUGCAGAAGUAGGGUGCUGCAGAUGGAGGCACAGCAGAUAAGAAAUGUAUCUCCCUUCAUUUCACAUCCGCUGAAAGAAACCUGAAGCCAGGUGGGGUGACUUUCACCCCCCAUCUGCUCCAGGUAAUACAAUAGCCAUUUGCAAUUCUCCUUCAUAAACCAAACCCAAAGCCUGACUAACAAAUGUAAUAGGGAAAACACUCUCCCAGGACAGGUCAGGAGCACAUUCCAGGAGAUUGCUGUUGAUGAGGAUAAAUACAGUACUUGUGUUCUGCUCAGACUGUACUUUCUGGUAACACGGUACAUUACUGCCUGCAUCUUGUGUUGGCCAUCCCCACUGCUCUUGUUUUGCACACACAAACCUCAGCUACAAGUUCAGCCAGCCUCAUGCAAUUGCAUAGAGAAACGUGCCUGCAUUAGAAACAACUGUUGAAGGCAACGUUAGCACCUCUUCAUGAGGGGCCUCAACACAUGAAGGGCUCCAAGAUGAGGGACCCAUAAAAGCACAAUGCGUCCAAGUCAUUAUCUCAGUUCCUGGAAAUCUGAUGGGCUCAGACCAGCUGAAAUACUCAGCCUCUGAACCCGCCCUCCCACAUGGAAGCUGACCUCCCUCCUGUUUAACCCACCUAGGUCUAACUCUAGGACACACAUGGGAAGAUGCUUGUAUUCCUGUUGCCUGAAGCUUUAUCUCCUUUCUUUUUCUAGGGCUCCAAUUCAGCAAGCACUGAGCAAUGCCAGUUUAAAACAUUUCAGCCUGAGGGUGGUCUGGGAUGCUGUGUUUGUCUUCAGGGUCACACAAAGCCAGCUUUCAGGUUCCACAAAGGCAUGCCCUUUAAAAAACCCUACGUCAUGAUGAUAGAAUUUGAAUCUCUGAGUUCCUGAAGCUUCAGCUGGAGUCAACAGGUAUCUGGGACACUGGGAAGCAGUCUGCAGAGCAUCAGUGGUUUGCAGGACCAGGCUGCAGCUCUCUGUCAUUUACUCUUCCUGGAGAUAACUGGAGAAGCCCUUUUGAAAGGAAUGAGCUGGAGAGUAGAGUGAAUAACACAGGAACGUGUCUCACCAGGGGCCUGGUCCUGCCCCUGCUCAAGACCUUCAGCUGUGACCGUACC